GACGAACGCUGGCGGCGCGCCUAACACAUGCAAGUCGAACGAGAGAUGAGGAGCUUGCUCUUCAAAUCGAGUGGCGAACGGGUGAGUAACGCGUGAGGAACCUGCCUCAAAGAGGGGGACAACAGUUGGAAACGACUGCUAAUACCGCAUAAGCCCACGGCUCGGCAUCGAGCAGAGGGAAAAGGAGUGAUCCGCUUUGAGAUGGCCUCGCGUCCGAUUAGCUAGUUGGUGAGGUAACGGCCCACCAAGGCAACGAUCGGUAGCCGGACUGAGAGGUUGAACGGCCACAUUGGGACUGAGACACGGCCCAGACUCCUACGGGAGGCAGCAGUGGGGAAUAUUGCACAAUGGGGGAAACCCUGAUGCAGCGACGCCGCGUGGAGGAGAAGGUCUUCGGAUUGUAAACUCCUGUUGUUGAGGAAGAUAAUGACGGUACUCAACAAGGAAGUGACGGGCUAACGUACGUG
Molecule: ribosomal RNA, 467 nt
Filed under: uncultured bacterium
Lineage: Bacteria
Description: bacterial SSU rRNA
Rfam family: Bacterial small subunit ribosomal RNA
Source: RNAcentral